UUUUGUGUCUGGAUUCUCUCUGUUAACACUGUGUCUGUGAGACUCACUCACGCUGUGUGUAGUAUUAUGCUUCAUCCUUUUUUGUUGUUGCAUAGUAUUCCACUGUAUAAAUAUACCACAAUUUAUUUGUCUGUUUUCCUAUUGCUGUGCAUUUGGAUUGUUUUGUUUUUCACUAUUUUGAAUAAAGCUGCUAUGAACAUCCUUGUGUAUGUCUUGGGUAUACAGAUGGUCCUGGCUUACAAUGAUUGGAUUUAAAAUUGUUUGACUUUAUGAUGGGCUUAUCAGGGUAUUAAAUGUGUUUCUGACUUACAGUAUUUUUGACUUACCACGUGUUUAUUGGGACGUAACCCCUUCCUAAGAUGAAGAGCAUCUGUAUACAUCCAGAAUCCUGUGGAGCAACUCAUAACCCAUGAGGAAUGGAAGCCGACAGACAGACUCAUCCCCAGGACAGGUGGUUCUCACUACAUCUCAUAAAGCUUCUUAGAAGAUCUUACAGGAUUGAGCAACCAGCCAGCCACAGCAGGGGCCAACUGGAUAACACGUCUUUGCAUAGGCUCUCCCUCUGUCCCUGUCACCCUCCCCUUUUCCUAACCUUGUUCCUUGGGAUUAUGUUUUGAAAUAAAUUAUUCAGAGAAAUGAAGCCAAAGCUGACCCAUUAGCCAAUAGCUAGGUUCUGUGAUGACAGAGCUUCUGGGCUAUAAUCGUUUACUGAGAAGCCAGCGUUCCUGAGGGGAUAAUGGCUCGUUCCAUUCAGCUGCAGCAUAGGAGUGAGGGCAGGGCAUUAGCAGAAGAUAACACCAGAAACGUGCUCUGGGGCCUGUUGAUGACUUUCUGUGCCAAGCACAGACAUUUAGCCUUUAUUCUGUAUGUGAUGGGAAGCCAGUGCCAGUGGUGGGUUUGAGCAGGGAACCAGCAACCAGUGGUGGGUUUGAGCAGGGAACCAGCAAUACUCAAGCUCUGCUUGGAUGGAGGCCAGUCAGGGAGGAGUUAGGGCAGGAGGACCAGUCAGGGAGGAGACUUAGGGCAGGAGGACCAGUCAGGGAGGAGACUUAGGGCAGGAGGACCGGUCAGGGAGGAGACUUAGGGCAGGAGUACUGGUCAGGGAGGAGACUUAGGGCAGGAGGACCGGUCAGGGAGGAGACUUAGGGCAGGAGGACCGGUCAGGGAGGAGACUUAGGGCAGGAGGACCGGUCAGGGAGGAGUUAGGGCUGGAGGACGGGUCAGGGAGGAGACUUAGGGCAGGAGGACCGGUCAGGGAGGAGUUAGGGCUGGAGGACCGGUCAGGGAGGAGUUAGGGCAGGAGGACUGGUCAGGGAGGAGACUUAGGGCAGGAGGACCGGUCAGGGAGGAGACUUAGGGCAGGAGGACCGGUCAGGGAGGAGACUUAGGGCAGGAGGACUGGUCAGGGAGGAGACUUAGGGCAGGAGGACAGGUCAGGGAGGAGUUAGGGCUGGAGGACGGGUCAGGGAGGAGUUAGGGCUGGAGGACCGGUCAGGGAGGAGUUAGGGCAGGAGGACAGGUCAGGGAGGAGUUAGGGGAGGAGGACCGGUCAGGGAGGAGUUAGGGCAGGGGGAUUGGUCAGGGAGGAGUUAGGGCAGGGGGAUUGGUCAGGGAGGAGUUAGGGCAGGAGGACCGGUCAGGGAGGAGUUAGGGCAGGAGGACCGGUCAGGGAGGAGACUUAGGGCAGGAGGACUGGUCAGGGAGGAGUUAGGGCAGGAGGACCGGUCAGGGAGGAGUUAGGGCAGGAGGACCGGUCAGGGAGGAGACUUAGGGCAGGGGGAUUCGUCAGGGAGGAGUUAGGGCAGGAGGACCGGUCAGGGAGGAGUUAGGGCAGGAGGACUGGUCAGGGAGGAGUUAGGGUCAGGGAGGAGUUAGGGCAGGAGGACGGGUCAGGGAGGAGUUAGGGGAGGAGGACUGGUCAGGGAGGAGUUAGGGCUGGAGGACCGGUCAGGGAGGAGUUAGGGCAGGAGGACCGGUCAGGGAGGAGUUAGGGCUGGAGGACCGGUCAGGGAGGAGUUAGGGCAGGAGGACCGGUCAGGGAGGAGUUAGGGCAGGAGGACCGGUCAGGGAGGAGACUUAGGGCAGGAGGACUGGUCAGGGAGGAGUUAGGGCUGGAGGACCGGUCAGGGAGGAGUUAGGGCAGGAGGACUGGUCAGGGAGGAGUUAGGGUCAGGGAGGAGUUAGGGCAGGAGGAUCGGUCAGGGAGGAGUUAGGGCAGGAGGACCGGUCAGGGAGGAGUUAGGGCAGGAGGACCGGUCAGGGAGGAGUUAGGGCAGGAGGACAGGUCAGGGAGGAGACUUAGGGCUGGAGGACUGGUCAGGGAGGAGUUAGGGCAGGAGGACCAGUUAGGAGGCAGUGACUUAGGACUUCAGCAGUGGCACUAGAAAGGGGAUGGAUAUGAACGACAUUGCAAAGUAAAACUAGAGAGACGGCCGGGCACAGUGGCUCACUCCUG
Molecule: long non-coding RNA, 2455 nt
Filed under: Homo sapiens (human)
Lineage: Eukaryota; Metazoa; Chordata; Mammalia; Primates; Hominidae
Description: non-protein coding lnc-MUC4-1:4
Source: RNAcentral